This is a long non-coding RNA of Cuculus canorus (common cuckoo), 483 nucleotides long. RefSeq lists it as uncharacterized. The transcript is spliced from 3 exons. NCBI's taxonomy places the organism in Eukaryota, Metazoa, Chordata, Aves, Cuculiformes, Cuculidae. The record is from RefSeq and is a predicted model, not a curated record.
GAAGCGUCUGUUACAGAAUUGAUUCAAUUAAGGAAAGGGAGAGAAAAUCUUAAGAACUUUUUUAAACACUGGAGAUUUGAUGUGUGAGGAGUGUAAGAACAAAAUUCUCCCAGGCCAUGACCAGAGCUCUGAAUCAGCAUAACUCUUUUCCUUGAAGAACGUGAAAACUAGACAAGGAUGAUUCUUUAGAGGUCAGUCCGAAUGGUUUACUCAUGGAAAAUCAGAAGGACGCAGUCUUCAAAAUGGCCUGUAAACUGAAGAGGCUCGGCUGGGAGCAUCUAUAUCUUCCCAUUUGAAAACCUCACCUGUUGCUUGCUCCUACAGAGUAGUACCUGGAAACACUGGAUCCUCUCUCUUUGCCAGCUGAAGACUGCCCAGUCCGCUCUGCAGAAAGCCUGGGGUCACGGAGCAGGAGGCAGGCUGGCACUAUGCUGCAAAUGUGGGAAUCAUGGGCUUAGUUCUGUGGAGGCUGCAAGGAGAGAG